GUUUGGGGGAAAACUAAUAAUAAAAGAAACAGAAGGAAUGAUUAAAAAUGGAAAAUAACAGCAUGUUCACAUAAGGAAACCAGAAAGGAUCCAUUGAAACUGGACACCAGCAGGUCAUUUGUUAUCUAAUUAAAAGAAGUUUCAAUGGAGCAACAGAGACAAAAACAGACUGUAGUGGGUUAUGAAGUCAGCAGGAGAUGAGACAAUGAAGGCCACCCCGGGUGGCCCAUGCCUUUAAGGAGCUUGGCUGUGGAGGGGAGACAGCUGGAGUGAUGAGGUAACAAUGUGUUUGCUGGGAUGUGGGUGGGAAGAUGUGGGAGGAAGAGUAGAAAAUGCCAUGGCUGAAGUGGGCAUGGGGAGAUGACCUACACAGAAAGCUGAGCAGUGCCAGGGGACAGUACAGAGUAGAAGAGACCAGAAGGUCGAGUCGGCCGUAGGCCCACGACAGACGCCACCCGACUGUCUUCCAAGCACCCCCCGGGAGUGUAACGGAGACCUAACAGCGGCCUCCCGCCGCUCCGGGAGCCCUACUCGCCAGCAACCCCACGACUCUAACCCGUCGCUAAGGUGGGCACGCCCCGCGACGUCACUUCCGCCCACAGGUGAACCGCCGGAAACAGCGCGACCGGCGUUACCGCCGGGCUUCGUCAGGGAGGCCAGAGGCUGGGGUUGCGGGGCUGCGAUCCCCGAAGGUGCCCCAGCCGGACCAGACACCCUCACCCCCAGUCAGCCGGGCUGUCUAACACUCACCCUGGGCAGCGUGGUUGCCCCACGCGUAAACCAAGUCGCAACGGUCCUGCCGCCAGCCUCCCAGGGAUGAGACGUGUUCGGCGUGACGCUCGCGCCCACCGGAAGAUCCGCCCCAGCCGCGGGGCGAGACCCAGUGCGCACGCGCUGGGCUGCCAACUGGGUUAGGAGCGCCGGCGCGAACGUGUGGUUGCUGGGAAGCCCAAUCUUCUGCCUCCCGGCUGCCUGGGCAUGUCUGGAAACCGGCGUUUUACUCUAGUGAAAAGCACAUCCUCAGUAAGGCGGUUGUAAGCACUGAGAUGUUUCCAAAGAAAGAGGCGGGGGGCGGGGGGUAAGGGGUAAGGCAGCGGGCCCUAUCGAUGGAAAUGCUUACAAUUAACCUCUGAGCCUAUCAAGUGGCUGGGGGAUGCCGAGGAUCAAACCCACAGUCUCCCACUUGUUAGGCAUGUGCUCCAUUAUUGAACUACAUCCCCAGCCCCCUUCCACGAACCUGAAAGAAUGGAGGUGUAGGGAGCCACACUAUCUCCCAGAGAAUCUCACUUUGCAGUUCCCGCCGCAGUGGGCGUCUCCCUCCCUAGCCAUCUUGAGUUCUCUGAAAAGGUGAGCAGUAGGAAAGGGUCUUACCCACCCCACACUCUCACACCUGAGCCAAGAGUUUAGGGCGUUGCAAACUGGCUGGGGAAGUAGACCUGAUCUAACUACAAAGUUCCCGACACAUGCACAAAACAGUUCCCAAAGCCCUGUAGUGGAGCCAACCAGAGAGCGCUAUCUUUAGGAUGGCCUAGACCAGGCAUCAGCCUGAGGAGUGGGGGAUACACAAGGACAGCCACCACUGAGCUGGGUGCUACUGCAUUUUUUUUUCCUGGUGCUCUGCUCUCAUGCUGUAGAGUAUUCUUUUUCCUACUUGGCCCAAACUCACUCUCCAGAACGUUUCUUUUCCUACCUUUAAUAAAUACAAAAC
RNAcentral lists this long non-coding RNA (1708 nucleotides) under Heterocephalus glaber (naked mole-rat). RNAcentral's name for it is "lncRNA (ENSHGLG00100031978.2)". Lineage: Eukaryota; Metazoa; Chordata; Mammalia; Rodentia; Bathyergidae. The record is from RNAcentral.